Molecule: long non-coding RNA, 824 nt
Filed under: Fukomys damarensis (Damara mole-rat)
Lineage: Eukaryota; Metazoa; Chordata; Mammalia; Rodentia; Bathyergidae
Description: lncRNA (ENSFDAG00000027909.1)
Source: RNAcentral
CUCAGAUCGUUCGUGUGGUCACCUGUUCACUCACUCGCUGGAAUAUGGAGCACCCAUGUGCCAAGUGCUGCUCUGAGGAAUGGAGACGGAGUCUCGGACAUACAAGAAGAAGGUGGCAGCCAAAAAAUAAUUCCUCUGUAUGGGACUGUGAAGACAAGAAAAGUGGACCGGAUCCUGGAGGGGGCAGAAGGUGGCAGCCAAAAAAUAAUUCCUCUGUAUGGGACUGUGAAGACAAGAAAAGUGGACCGGGGGUGCUCAAGUGUGCCUGAAACUUCUGGGGCUGUUGGAGGGCCGGAGCUUCGCUGUACAGGAAGCUCGGUCCAGUCCCGGCACUGGCAGCACCCUCAGGUGCAGAGGUGCCGCAGUGCAGGGCUGCUCUGGAGGCUCCCACCUAGGCGCCAGCCACGGUUGCUGGACGACUCUGCCGUCUGUUCACCUCUAGACCACACUGUUGCAACAGACUCGAAGCAGCCCGAGGACAAGCGCUGCCUCACAUCCUGUGGCCUGGGGGAGAGGGUCGUCUUCCCAGUCUCCUUCAUUUGAAAAUAACAGGAGCCAGCAGCCUCGCCCACCCCAGCCCUGAUUACCUUGUCUGCUGCUGUAUUAAUGCCCUUCACACACUCAUUACUCUUUAAUGAUGCCUGUUGGUAAAUAGCAAGACAGGAUGCAAUUAAACCAUGAGAGGCUAAAUAAACACACAUUCUAAUUAGGAUCUUUACGAGAGAUUUUUUUUUCAUGUAUAGACUGGAAUUUACCUUUCAUUAAUCUAACUUAAUUGCAAUAGUGCACCAAUAAAGAAUCAACCCAAAUUAAGUGCUCUAAAU